UCUCACUCUAAUCCAGCCCCAAACCCGUUUAAAAGCCAGUCCACCCUACCAAAUAACCAAAACGACCUCGUUUUGGUCACGUUUGAUCUCAUCCUUCCAUAUCUCCCAAUCCAACAGUCCGUAACUAAUGCCCCAACCCCAGUAACCUCUCAGACCUCUCUCCUCCCUUUCUUUGUUCCACCACCACUGGCGUCGCCGGAAAUCGCCCACGGUGGCCACCGGCCAAAUAACCCCAAACUCACACCUUACACUCUCUAACUCCUCCUAAUUCCUAAUCUCCCAUUAAUUUCAACAGAAAGUCGACCAAUCUUCACGAAUUUCAGAUCUUAGACCUAAAGGAAAAAUAAUCUAAUCUUUGAUCAAAAGCCUUGAAUCCUCCGCUGCCUUGUUUCUCCGCCCCAAUAUGGUAAUCAAUAUCGCUACAUGUAGCAUUAGUUCUGCCGAUACGUGCGAGUCAAUGCUCAUGUUGCGAUAUCGACUAUCGACCGGCGAUUUCCUGGUCUUGUUGUUUUCAAAGGUGAUCCUCUUCUUUCUUCAUGUUUAGACCUGUUAAUUCCUUCUGUGGUAUGUAAGGUCUUAUUGUUAAUUUAGUGGCAUGAGAGUUUAUCCAUGCCUGUUUGUUCAAGUCGGUUUCAUAUGAGAUUGGUCACAUUUACUUAACUAGAUUAAUUAUCGUUGCAUGCCUUAGAAUUUAUCAAUUUCUCAGAUUUUUAUGACCUAAGUUAGGGUUGAGUUAUUGUUUCUUACUCUGAAUUGCUAUCUCUAUUUUGGUUUAACCUUUUUCUUAGGAGACGGAUUGGUAGAUUUUAGAUGUUUAAGAUAAUUGGUUUUAAUCUUAAUCGUUUCUUUGUUAAUUUAGGUUAUCUUUGAAUUUCUAUAGCUUUGUUUGAAUUCGGUUGUUUUAAUUAGCAGAAUCAUAUUGGUUAUGGCCUGUCUUGAAAAUGGAUUGGGGGCCUGCCUUGUUUGACAGGUAGGCCUAUUGAGUCUUAAGGCCCAGAUUUCUGUUAUGGUUUGAAAGGAAAAUAGUAGAGCCCUAAAGGGUAAUUAAGAGUUUUGAAAUUGAAAGAAUCUUCAUAUAACUGCUAGAAAGUGUCUAGAAGGUCUAGGGUGCAGUAAAAACAGGGAAAUUUAGGUCAAUUUUGGGUAAAUACAGAGGGGUAAAAGGGGCUGGGAAAGAAUAGGAGGAAUAUUGGAUGGUCUAUUGUAAAGAUGCCUUUUCCCUAAAUUUUAGGGAAGGCUGGCAUAUUCCCAAAAUAGCUCUUAUUUUUCUGCAUUAAAGUACACAUACACUCUCAUAUUGGACUCACUAUUUUCACUCGGGACUCUCAGAAUUCUUUCAAUCUUCAGUAGAGCAAAUUUUCUGAAUUCUAGCUUCCUUUUAAGUUUCAGAAAACAUAAAAAAAAAAAAAGUUUGAAAAGAAGAAAAAUAACAGGAUUUGGGAUUGAUUUUGUAAGCAAAGUAAUUCAAAAACUGAAGCUGACUUCUCUGGGUUCUAAACUGAUUUUAACUGGCAUUUGGAGCUGUUUCUGCUGCCUGGUUUUGUUAAGAUUUCUUUCUAGUUUUCUAACCUUUAUUUGGUCUCAGCUUUUUGAUUCCUGCUUUAGGUAUGUUGAAAUCUCAUCUAUGGUGUCUCUUGGAAAUGUAUAAAUGAAAAUUUGAAUUGAUGUUCCUGUUGUCUGAAUUUUGCUUACAAAUUCUUUUCCUUUUUUCUAUGUUGAUGACUGAUUUGUCUAUGUCUUAAGCUUAAGGAAGUUCAUGAUGUUUAAAUCACUUUAGAGUCGACAUAGCAUCUAUUGGAAUCUGAUUUGUUCUUUAAAUGAUGAUCCAUGUUUGAACAUUGAGUGUGGUAUACUUGUAGAUCUGAUAACCAUGUAAUCAUGUUUGCUGCUGGAAAGUUCAGUUAACAAUUUCAGGAAAGGGAGGAUUCUGUGAUUCCAUGCCUUCCAUGCCUGACCGUCUUCAGUAAUCCUGUAGAUUCCGUGCACUAAACCAAAUCCCUGCUUUAGCUUUUUACCUAGUCCCACUUGGUUGGAAUUCUGGAGAGAUUUAAAGUACAAAUCAACUACCUCGUAUACUAUGAUGAGGUGUAGUUUUGUUGAGGAUCGAAGACAAUGGAUGUCAACAUAAUAUGUAGAAUUAGCUGAUUGUACGUACAAUAAUGAGAAAAAUAACAUGUUGCAGAAAAAUAGAAUUCUGUAUCUUCCACAACAUAUAUCAGUAACCUUUUCCCAUUGUGUCCUUUUGAUUUUUCGUAAUGUAACACCACUAGUCAUUUUGUAAGUAAUCAUAUAAAUUCCUAGUACAGCAAAAUCUUAGUGUUUAGAUGGUUCCCAUUUGGUUCAGAGUACCUUUCAUAUUUGAGUUGAUUGCUCCAGAUUUAAGAUGUAAAAUUUACUCGAGUAGCUAGUAAGCAACAAGUUUGGCAUUAGAAAGGAUAGAGCAUGAAAUGUCAUUGAUUCAACCAUUUAAAG
Molecule: long non-coding RNA, 2472 nt
Filed under: Nicotiana tabacum (common tobacco)
Lineage: Eukaryota; Viridiplantae; Streptophyta; Magnoliopsida; Solanales; Solanaceae
Description: long non-coding RNA (NTAB_LNC004868)
Source: RNAcentral